Molecule: ribosomal RNA, 253 nt
Filed under: uncultured bacterium
Lineage: Bacteria
Description: partial 16S ribosomal RNA
Rfam family: Bacterial small subunit ribosomal RNA
Source: RNAcentral
UACGUAGGGCGCAAGCGUUGUCCGGAAUUAUUGGGCGUAAAGGGUGCGUAGGCGGCGCGGUAAGUCGGGUGUGAAAUUUCGAGGCUUAACUUCGAAACUGCAUUCGAUACUGCCGUGCUUGAGGACUGGAGAGGAGACUGGAAUUUACGGUGUAGCGGUGAAAUGCGUAGAUAUCGUAAGGAAGACCAGUGGCGAAGGCGGGUCUCUGGACAGUUCCUGACGCUGAGGCACGAAGGCCAGGGGAGCAAACGGG